RNAcentral lists this ribosomal RNA (222 nucleotides) under uncultured bacterium. RNAcentral's name for it is "partial 16S ribosomal RNA". It matches the Rfam family "Bacterial small subunit ribosomal RNA", at positions 328 to 539 of the family's 1533-position model. The record is from RNAcentral.
ACGCUCGACACCUACGGGGGGCAGCAGUGAGGAAUAUUGGUCAAUGGGCGCUAGCCUGAACCAGCCAAGUAGCGUGAAGGAUGAAGGCUCUAUGGGUCGUAAACUUCUUUUAUAUAAGAAUAAAGUGCAGUAUGUAUACUGUUUUGUAUGUAUUAUAUGAAUAAGGAUCGGCUAACUCCGUGCAGCAGCCGCGGUAAUCUGGAGGCCGGGCUGGACGAAGGC